This 301-nucleotide ribosomal RNA is filed under the name uncultured bacterium. RNAcentral's name for it is "partial 16S ribosomal RNA". It matches the Rfam family "Bacterial small subunit ribosomal RNA", at positions 509 to 807 of the family's 1533-position model. The record is from RNAcentral.
CAGUCGCCGCGGGAAUACGUAGGUGGCAAGCGUUGUCCGGAGUUAUUGGGCGUAAAGGGCUCGCAGGCGGUUUCUUAAGUCUGAUGUGAAGGCCCCCGGCUCAACCGGGGAGGGUCAUUGGAAACUGGGAAACUUGAGUGCAGAAGAGGAAAGUGGAAUUCCACGUGUAGCGGUGAAAUGCGUAGAGAUGUGGAGGAACACCAGUGGCGAAGGCGACUCUCUGGUCUGUAACUGACGCUGAGGAGCGAAAGCGUGGGGAGCGAACAGGAUUAGAUACCCGUGUAGUCCCUGUCUCUUAUAC